CUUAGCGCAGCCGCGGCCCAACCAGCCGCCGGGCCGGGCGGGGGGUUCGUCCCGCGGUGCCGCUGCCGGCUCGGUGCCCUGCGGCGGGGCCACCGGCUUCCGGCUGUGCGUGCCCUCCUCCUCGGGGCGCAGCGGCUCGGCCAGCGCGAAGAUGGGGUCCCGCGCCCUGCGGAGAGAAGGAGGUGAGGGCGGGGGGGCGGCCCACGGCGGCCGUCGUGCCCCGCAGCGCUCCCCGCCCGCUCACCGCUCGUAGCCGGGGAUCUGCAGGCCCAGCUCCUCCAUCAGCAGCCGCAUGACGUCGUCGCAGCGGCCGUGCAGCUUCAGGGCAGCCAGGUCGUCCUUGGGCGUCCACUGCGAGGCGACAGCGGGACACCGCGGCGCUGCAGCACCCGCUGCGAGGGGCUUCACCCCACCUCCCGGCCCAGGACUGGGAAGGCGCUCACCUGCAGGUUGACGAUAUAGAGCUUUGGACGACGAGGUGGGGGUUUGCUCAUGCACCAAAGGCGGGGGUAUUUUUUCAAAACCUGCCACAAAACAGAACUGAUCAGCACAGCCAAAGGCACGCGUAACCCUGAACCGUAGCAGCGAGAGGAGAAGGAAUGUAUUACCAGGAGGGGAAAGAGGGAGGAAGAGAGACUAUCACACAGAUGGUGGGCGAAUCCUGACACCAGAGUUUACAGUUGUCUGUUUGGGAGGAGACUGCUCAGCACCAAGGUGUGUCACCAAGAGGGAAUGCUGCUAACAAUCUUCACCGAGUCUCUAAAGUUACCUUUAAGCUGGAACCCAGACAAAGAAUCACAUCUGCUUUGCUUGCAGCUUCUGUUGCUGCUUCCCAGUUCAGGGGCUGUGUCAGUGUCCCCUUCUCCCCAAAGUGGACGAUUGUAUCUCUCAACUGCGCCCCACACUUGUGGCACAUCCUGCCAGUGUGGUGCUUGUGCAGGGCUGUGCGUUCUGUCACGUCAAAUACUCGCACAUACUCUCUGUUGGGUGUACACGAAGUGCAGACCUAUAGCACAGGAAGGAAAAAACGUAGUACUGUCGGUAUCUGGUCCAUCAGAGCCCAGGGCUGCAGCCACGCCUCAGAGAAAAGCACCUUCUGGGGACAACAAACCUGGGAGCAGUAGAAGGAAUCAUCUGUGUUUAGAUGCUAACUUGGAAGCAUUGAGAAACACUCAACUAGUGAGUGGCAUUACAGGGGGCUGGGCAAUAGGAGGGGUUUUCAGGCAAGGCCUGAAGAACUGUGCCCAGAAGCAGAAGGCUCUAGCAGAUACAGAGAAAAAACUGCCAGGUUGUACAGAAAACUUAACUUUGGGGCUUGCUAAGUAGUUCACCCAAAAACGGACAACCUAAAGAUACAAACUAAGCUGAGACUGGCCCUCGUGCUAAUUCUUCAGUCAGGGAGAAACAGUUAAUAUUAUCUUUUUACAAGGCCAAUACUGACAGUACCUCUGUACUUUUCUAGCUGCUCACCUCUAUGUACAUGUUUCCAUGAAGCUCAGAGAUUGCUGAUCGAGGUAACCCACUUCGCAGGUGCAGCCCAUCACAGUUUUGAGAUACCACAUGCUGCACCUGGAAGAGAAUAAAACACUGAAAUAACACACAUAGAGAAGACUCUGAAAGUAUUACUCCAAUGCAGGUAAUACGUAUGUCUCAGUGUGCAAUAAACAGUUCUGCUUCAAUACACUGAGCUAACAGAAGAAAAGCACAGAGAGCAGAACUCUGUGAAAGCUAAAGAGACUCCUGCUAAAUACAGCUCUGUUAGGCCUGGCAGACUUUGUGGUCAUGUCCCCAGACCACAGCCUCACCAGGAGGCCAACAAAAGCUAUUGAAGAAAGGCACAAGGGAAAAACUGCGGGAGACACAGUCUGGAUGUGGCCUGAUAAAGGCUCGGCUAUACAGAAACACAGGUGAUUGCUCCUACACAGAUGUAGCCGCUUCACUAAGGACAACAGUUAUGCAGUAUUGUGAAAAACAUCUUUUUCCUUUUUGAUCUGAUUUAUUACACUGUGACAGUGGAGCACAAGUCAUGGACAGAAAAGGAGAUCUUACCAGGUUAUGCUUGUGUAAGCAAGCAAUGCUCAUAUGGGUGAGCGUGGGCUCUGCCUCACUCAGAUCUGUAGUGCUGACAAGAGGCAAAAAAAAAAAAAAAAGGUAAGAAAUUGCCAUUAAAACUCUCAGCUGUCUGUUGGGCAGCUCAAAAUUCAUCUCCUGAGUAGCUGCAGAACUGUCCUUCCAGGAAAGAGAAAGGAAGAGUUCGCUACAGUCACCUUACCUGAUGCUCCUGCCCUUCUGCAGCAAUGUCCAAAUGCCAUUGGGGCCUCGGUAGUCUGGGAUCGAAGCUGCCGUACUGAUCCCUGCUCCUGUGUAGAUGACAAGGUGCUUGGCAUUCCGGAUAGCAGCAGCCAGCUCAAUGACCUUUCUCUUCAGCUCCUCUGGCUCAUCACAUACCUCCUCCUGCCGCCGGCGCAGCCUCUCGCGCCUCUUGCGGCGCCUCUCCAGCUCCCGGACGAUGUCCUCGCUCUCGCUCAGCACCUGACACUCCUCGGGGCUCCGUUC
RNAcentral lists this long non-coding RNA (2556 nucleotides) under Gallus gallus (chicken). The record is from RNAcentral. Lineage: Eukaryota; Metazoa; Chordata; Aves; Galliformes; Phasianidae.